GGGUUAGUAGGUUGGUUAUGCCUCUGGUAUGUACUGGUCUCACUGAUUCCUCCUUCCUGAUGAACCUUAAUGCCAUCAAUUUGGUGUCUUGGGGAAUUUGGACUGUUACUUUGAAAAAAUUAGAGUGUUUAAAGCAAGCUAACGCUUGAAUACAUUAGCAUGUAAUAAUGAAAUAGGACGUUCGAUCCUAUUUUGUUGGUUUCUAGGAUUGACGUA
Molecule: ribosomal RNA, 216 nt
Filed under: Campeiostachys nutans
Lineage: Eukaryota; Viridiplantae; Streptophyta; Magnoliopsida; Poales; Poaceae
Description: Elymus nutans partial small subunit ribosomal RNA
Rfam family: Eukaryotic small subunit ribosomal RNA
Source: RNAcentral